Manis pentadactyla (Chinese pangolin) is the source of this 543-nucleotide long non-coding RNA. RefSeq lists it as uncharacterized. Lineage: Eukaryota; Metazoa; Chordata; Mammalia; Pholidota; Manidae. The record is from RefSeq and is a predicted model, not a curated record. The transcript is spliced from 3 exons.
CUUAAGUUUCAUCCCAUUGUGACACUGGCUUGAAGUCCAAGAUCUUGUCAUCAAAAUCAGACCCAAAUGCAGAUGAGGAUCUUGGAGUGUAGUUUCCCAGAUUUGCAAUUUGGACAAGACUCAUGGGGACAGAAUGCCUCUGAUCUAUGUGGCAUCAGCUGGGAGGGCUAGACUUUAGAUUGGAGAAUACACUUGAAGAUGGCUUACUCACAUGGCUGAUAAACACCCAGAAAUGGAAUUGCUGGAUUGUAUGGUAGUUCUGUUUUUAAGUUUUGGAGGAACUUCCAUACUGUUUUCCACUGCAGCUGCAACAAUUUUCAUUCCCACAGGGCAUGAGGGCUCCAUUUUCUCCUCAUUCUUGCCAGCACUUGUUAUUUUUCUUUUUGAUAAUAGCCGUUCUAACAGGUGUGAGAUGAUAUCUCAUUAUGGUUAUGAUUUGCACUUCCCUGAUGAUUAGUGAUGAAAAGAUGAACAUCUUUCAUGAGCCUGCUGGACAUCAGUGUGUCUUUGCUGGAAAAAUGUUUGUUAACAUCCUCUGCCAUA